Molecule: long non-coding RNA, 398 nt
Organism: Seriola aureovittata
Lineage: Eukaryota; Metazoa; Chordata; Actinopteri; Carangiformes; Carangidae
Exons: 2
Source: RefSeq, a predicted model, not a curated record
GACAGUCAGCAGACAAGAGAUUAGGACUGAAGCACUGAUGCUGAAAGAAACAGAAGCUUGAGAGAAUCAAAUAAAAAAAACAACAACAAAAAACCAACAGAGGAGCUGAGAGGAAAAUGGAACUUGAUUUGAUUAAGAUCCAUCUUUUUCUUCUCUGCGUCAAAUGAAGAGAGGUGUCUUAAAGUGCCUCUCAAACCUUUUCUGCUUUCAAGACACUUAACCAUCCUGCAAAUAGAAUAGAAACGACUUCAGUCGGCACUUCAAACGUAAAACUCAAACUGGAGGCGAAAAAAUUGUUCAUGUAUUAAUGUCACUUUGUCCCCAGAUGUUCUUUUCUAAAUGUAUCUGAACAUUAGUAUUUGCAUUAUGGAAUAAAUUUGCAUGUUCGUGUUUCAUCA